AUAUUAUUAAGUGGAGGAAAAGAAACCAAAAGGGAUUCCCCCAGUAGCGGCGAGCGAAAAGGGACCGGCCCAAAGCCAAAUCCCGUUUCUCUUAGAAACCGGGACAUGUGGCGUAUGGGAGACGGAAUUCUUGGAUUUAAAAGGCGGCUCAAGUCCCCAUGAAUGGGGCUACGACCGAAGUGGGUGUGAGUCCCGUUCAGUCGCUCUUUUUCUUCUAAUUUCCGUUUUCCCGGGAGUCGGGUUGCUUGAAAGUGCAGCCCAAAGUGGGAGGUAUGCUCCUCCUAAGGCUAAAUAUCCCCGAGAGACCGAUAGCAAAAAAGUACCGUGAGGGAAAGUUGAAAAGAACUUUGAAGAGAGAGUUCAAUAGUACGUGAAACCGCUUAGAGGUAAACGGGUGGGCCCUCGAAGUCUGAAGGCGGAGAGAUUCAGUACGGGAUUUAUCAGAACCUUUAUUGGGGCGCACGCCAACGAGUCGGUGUCGCUCUGGUUUAGCUUUCUAUUUAGCCCGUGCGCAAUUCUAUUCCGUCGGUAAGAGGCCGCGACUGGUUGGCCGACUGUUGGAAGGACCGCUUUGGGACAGGUAGCCGAUCGAACUCWGGUUCGGUAGGUGUUAUAGCCCUUUGCAAAAGACCGACUGUCGUGCCGACUCAGGACGAGAGAAACCUCGAGUAGCGUUCCCUUCGAAAGAAGCKAUUUUUUACGAUUGGGCCUUUUCGGCGACUGGAGAACACAUUUCAUGUGCCUUUAGUAACGCGAGGGGUCUAUUUUGUAUAGAUCGCCAUGGGAGCCUGAGGUCGGCGGUCAGUAGAUCGGGUCCCACCCGACCCGUC
This 830-nucleotide ribosomal RNA is filed under the name Lagynochthonius sp. P2. RNAcentral's name for it is "partial large subunit ribosomal RNA". Lineage: Eukaryota; Metazoa; Arthropoda; Arachnida; Pseudoscorpiones; Chthoniidae. The record is from RNAcentral.